CUGAGUUUAUAAAGGGGGAGGGUCUACCUUCUCCCUUUUUCUCUCCACCCUUUGUUAUUAUUUGUACAAGUUGCUUUGGCGGUUGGUUUUGUUAUCUACCGUCAAGUGGCUUUUUCAAACACUUUGUUAUCCAACAGUUAAGAUAUCUUUUGUCUAAUUCUUUACGACUUGAAUAAGUAUGUA
RNAcentral lists this unclassified non-coding RNA (183 nucleotides) under soil metagenome. RNAcentral describes it as "partial internal transcribed spacer 1". The record is from RNAcentral.